This 425-nucleotide ribosomal RNA is filed under the name uncultured bacterium. RNAcentral describes it as "bacterial SSU rRNA". It matches the Rfam family "Bacterial small subunit ribosomal RNA", at positions 354 to 775 of the family's 1533-position model. The record is from RNAcentral.
GUGAGGAAUAUUGGUCAAUGGGCGCAAGCCUGAACCAGCCAUCCCGCGUGCAGGAAGACGGCGCUAUGCGUUGUAAACUGCUUUUCCAGGGGGAGAAACUUGCGCACGUGUUGCGCAAUUGACGGUACCCUGGGAAUAAGCAUCGGCUAACUCCGUGCCAGCAGCCGCGGUAAUACGGAGGAUGCGAGCGUUAUCCGGAUUCAUUGGGUUUAAAGGGUGCCUAGGCGGACUAUUAAGUCAGUGGUGAAAUCCUGCAGCUUAACUGCAGAACUGCCAUUGAUACUGAUAGUCUUGAGUUUGGUUAAGGUAGGCGGAAUGUGUAAUGUAGCGGUGAAAUGCUUAGAUAUUACACAGAACACCAAUUGCGUAGGCAGCUUACUGAGCCGACACUGACGCUGAGGCACGAAAGCGUGGGGAUCGAACAG